GUGUCAGCAGCCGCGGUAAUACGUAGGUGGCAAGCGUUGUCCGGAAUCAUUGGGCGUAAAGAGCGCGUAGGUGGCUUGUCAGGUCUGAUGUGAAAUCCUGGGGCUCAACUCCAGAACUGCAUCGGAAACCGGCUUGCUAGAGUCUGGGAGAGGAGAGUGGAAUUCCUGGUGUAGCGGUGAAAUGCGUAGAUAUCAGGAGGAACACCGGUAGCGAAGGCGGCUCUCUGGAACAGUACUGACGCUGAGGCGCGAAAGCUAGGGGAGCGAACAGGAUUAGAAACCCUUGUAGUCC
This 292-nucleotide ribosomal RNA is filed under the name uncultured bacterium. Its description in RNAcentral is "partial 16S ribosomal RNA". It matches the Rfam family "Bacterial small subunit ribosomal RNA", at positions 505 to 796 of the family's 1533-position model. The record is from RNAcentral.